Oncorhynchus keta (chum salmon) is the source of this 1496-nucleotide long non-coding RNA. RefSeq lists it as uncharacterized. The record is from RefSeq and is a predicted model, not a curated record. The transcript has 2 exons. NCBI's taxonomy places the organism in Eukaryota, Metazoa, Chordata, Actinopteri, Salmoniformes, Salmonidae.
AUAGGCGGGGUUUAUGACUGCUUAUUUAUUUAUGUACGUAUGUGUGAUGUGGUUAGGAAACUAGCAACAUAUUAGAAAUGCAAGCAACGCCUCCCUAAUGAACAUGUUGCAAACCAUAAAACAGAUUUACAAAUAAUUUCAAGAAGUGAACAAGAAAAGUAAGGUGUGUGCACUGGCAAUUAUUUUUUUGUAGCUAGUGUACUUAAUGGUCGUGGUGUCGAGAUAAAGUAGCUGAAUGUUGUCUCGCGGCAAAGCGAGGAAAGAACGGUGCGUAGUUGCUAGUAAGCGAGCCAACAAAUCUAACGUUUGUUUCAAGGUGAGGUUCGAUGCUCCGGGCAAUCAGAUGCCCCCCCUGUAGUUAGACAAUGGCUCACUAGUUGGAUGGAUGUAUAACUUUCCUGUCUAUCCUCAAGCUAACGUUAUAGUUAGUUAGCUUCUGGUAGGAAGCACAAUACCAGAUAACGUUAGCUAACUAACCCAGUUUGUUGUAAUGUUAGCACUUAGCUAGACAAGUUAUUUAGAGGCGGAAUUGUCACUUUUAGAUAACGUUUGUUAGCUCGUUUUAGCAGUCAAUUAACCUGUGGUAAGUUAUCUUUGUAACGUUACAUGUUCACUGAGUAAUAGCUACUUGGCUAGUUGGCAUGUCGAUAUAACUAACUAGCGAACGUUAACUCAUGCAAUGUAAGUUAGCUACUGUGUAUUGUCAUGACUCCAUGAUGACAUGAUUCUUAUUUCAAACUUACCAAAAUGUUAGAUGCAUACUCUGGUCCAGAGUUUGUGGACUACGAUGAUAUCAGACACGGGGCAAAAUUUGUAUGUAAAAAUGAUGAUUGUUGACGUGUCAUUAAAUAUGCAUGUAAGACCGAAGGGAAUACUUACAGUAUACAUUUUGAAAAUUGACUCUACUAGUGUUAUCAUGUAACGUUUGCAAUACGUCAUUAGACAUGAAAUUAUUAACAACUUUUCUUCCUCAAGAUCCAUGUCAAAAACAGUUCCUUUGUAGCCCUGCAACCUCCAGAUGACAAAUAUGAGCGAUGGAAUAAAAUCCCUGUCAGUUUGAAAAAGACAGUGUCACAGUUGAUGCAUGUAUCUGCCUUUUGGUAUCACAUUCUGCUUUGUCGAGAGAAUCACAACACCUCAUGCUGGGCUGUGCAAGUGGGCUUCCUCGAUUCAAAGUAAGAAUUGUAUCAACAGUAUCUCGGACCUGCCUGGUGUGUUCCUUGUUCUUCAUGAUGCUCUCUACGCUUUUAACGGACCUCUGAGACUAUCACAGUGCAGGUGCAUUUAUACGGAGACUUGAUUACACACAGGUGGAUUGUAUUUAUCAUCAUUAGUCAUUUAGGUCAACAUUGGAUCAUUCAGAGAUCCUCACUGAACUUCUGGAGAGAGUUUGCUGCACUGAAAGUAAAGGGGCUGAAUAAUUUUGCACGCCCAAUUUUUCAGUUUUUGAUUUGUUAAAAAAGUUUGAAAUAUCCAAUAAAUGUCGUUCCACUUCA